CGGAAAUAUAAAAACGCAAAAUUUCUUCUCUUUUCUUUUGGAUUUUUGAUUUAUAACACAUUUUCCGAAUACAAAAUAGGAAAAUACAAUAACAAAAGACUCGUCAAACUUAACUAGACUAUGACAAACUCUAACAUCACCUAAAAGACUCGACAUUACUGUACAAAACUAGAAGGUGAAAGAUGACAUAAAAACAAUAGACUCAAAACAUAAUAACUAAAAAAAUCUCCUUAAGCAAACUCCUGAAUAAGCGACCCUGAUUGGAUGGUCCUGGGGUGUCUGUCAUGCCCAAAUUCCGAUAAGUAAGUCCACACCUGUAUGAAAAAAUUAAGACCAAAUAAAGUUAAAGACCUAGAACGCUAUGUGAGACAAUAACCCUUCAUGUUGGACACAUGCAAGACAUGAUUGUGACUAUUUUUCUAAAAUUAACCUAUGUGACUAAAAGUGGCUAAAAAUGCAAGAUUUGGCUAAGACCCUGCGAAGCCAAGAACCUAAGACUCAGUAGGAAGACCGGACCCUAUGUGGGUUUCCUACGUAUCACGCCCCGAAAGACAAGAAUCAGGUAUGCGUUGUUCGGGUAGAUUGGAUACGGGCGAGAAAUCAAAAAAAACAACUAAUUUAGAGAAAAUAUUUUUUUUGUCUUCUUUUUUUUCGUGAAAAAUGAUGAAACAUGUAAACUCUUUUUGAAUUUUCUUUUUCCUCUUUUUUAAUUUUUUUUUUAGGAAAAUAAUGGGAAAGUGCAAAAUCUUUUUGGGUUUUUCAUUUUUUUGUCUUUUUCUUAAAAAAAAUGUGAAAAGUGAAGUAAAAACAUAACUGGGCCCUACUUGCUUUAUUUUUUACACUUCACCCUCUUUUUUUCUCAUUUAUCCUCAAAUCUCAUUGGUCCGCCAAAUGACCCCUUUUACCCUUGAAAAUUGCAACAUCUAGCACAUAAGAUGCAAUAGGUAGCCUUUUAUUUUUGGGGUACACCUGUCCUAGAUGGACCCAACCCCUGUGUUGAGUCCCCUAAGUCAAAUGCACGUGAUGCAAACAAACAUUCCUCCUGGGGAUCCGGCAUGAAGCUAAGUUAUUCUAGGUUUGAAAACCUAGGUUUAUUUGUUCUAGACCUGGCUUAUCCGAGCGGACAACUCAAGCCGAGGGGGGUAGCGUACCGGGAAUACAGAAGCUUCACCAGCUUCGCAACUUGUCUGAACCUCGUUCUAAAAUUAGGAUAUGACUCUAACAGAAGAGAAGUCACACGAAGUGUACACUUCCCAGAUGAUUUAGAAGACUCAGAGAGAUGAGGGUUUUGUAACAGUUCAUAUACAAUUCAAACAAUAACAAAGCGGCAAAAAGCGGCAAUUAGCACAUUAGGCUCAAACAUAUAAAAAUCAGAUAAUAAAUAAAGGCCAACUAUAACAGUUAUUCUAAGCUUGAAUUCGGAACCCUGAACCAGAGGUUCUGGGUUAAUUUCCCAAGCAGAGUCGCCAGAGCUGUCACACCUCCUUUUUACCGCCUCUGGAAGGGGUAUAUGGGAGUUUUUUCAAUUAAAGUGACAAUCGAAACGUGAUUAUUUUUUAAGUUUCAGAGUCAACACUUGGGAUAAUUAUAUGGUGUCCCAAGUUACCAGUUUAAAAUCCCGAAUCGAGGAAAAGUUUGACUCCAUUUUAUAGUCUGCGAACACAGAAAUCCAGGUAAGGAAUUUUGUUAACCUGGGAGAAGGUGUUAGGCAUUCCUGGGUUCCGUGGUUUUAGCAAGGUCGCUCAACUGUUAAUAUUGGCCUAAUUACCUGAUUUAUUACACGUUUUAAACCUAUUGUGCAUUUUUAACUUUAUAACCACUUUUUAAUUAUUUUAAACCGCAUUUAGGAUUUAUCGAAUUAUUUCUUGAACAAGUUACGAUUGUCAUACACUUGUUCGCUUUGGAACACGCCGCGAACCACGCUACAUGAAAUGCACACGCGAUUCACGACAUGUGUAUUUUAUUAAUAUUCGAAGUUUUUAUGAUCGGGUUACAUGAAAUGCACCCCCGAAUCUACUAAUUCACGGGUAUGAAACUGAUGUAUCAAUAUAACAUAGUAAAUGUGACAAGACAGGAAGAUUUAAUCAUUUCCCUCAAACCUACACAGAGACGUUUCCCACCUCUAAGGAUUCAAAAAGACAUGAACUAUUAAUAUUUCGUAGUACCUCAUCAACUCCAACUUUCAUUUGAACCCAUGGAAUAUUUCUUAUCCAUUUCUCCUAAGUAAUUCAGGAAUGAGCAAGUAAUGAAAGCUAAUAGGCAAGUAGCAGUUGCUAAGAUCACAAAUAUUAAUAACGAAAAUGGACAAUGCAUGAUCAACACAAAAUCAGAUGCUGAAAACCAGAUCACUUAAAAUUCUUUUAACUCAAAAUACUACCAUAUUGCUUCAGCGGCCAAAAGACUAUAUUUACUAUUCAAAACAAACAAACUAAAAUUCUACAUCAUAUCAAUCAACAAAGUAGUAAAAUUCUAAACAUGCUAGCUAUAUGAAUCAUCCACCGAUUUUGCUCACAAAUUACUCCACCAAAUAUUCUAAGAAUCUCAAGAGACCUACUAUAUUUAAAUCACACCCAAAUAAAGAUUAUAGCAGAGGGAAUUUUUUGCAACUACACUAAACUCAUCACAGCGCCGCUGUAGUUUAACAUUAGGUUGCUACAACUAGAAUAAGAUAGGAUGAUCAUACUCAAAGCUUAAAUUGAAGCCAACAAAAGGUUCGGUAGGCAACAUUUAUCCAUAGGCCAAAUCUUGAAAGAAAGAAUACUGAAUUGGACUAAUUCAUGUGGAAAACUUGUAGUAAUAUUUCACUACUCAAACAUCACAAUUAGAGACAAGAACAGGUGAACAUAGAACUCAUUCAAAUCUUCAAUUUACUUCAAUUAGAGACACAAAUAGGACAAUGAUCGUAUAUACUUUAGCACUCAAAGAUUCAUCCUAACAAACUUUCAUUUAACCACAACCAAGAAACAAAAUAGAAGUAGGAGUAAUCGAAAAGUACCUGUUAACCCAAAACUUCUUAGUAACAGUUGAAGAACCAACAAAUACACAAAUUCUAGUUCCGGAAAAUCAAUGAGAACCAAUAGCAAUAAUAAAAAACAUCAAACGGAACCACAAACUUGAACCUCCGGACCGACCUCGACUCAAUCACGCCAUGCUUGAAAAACCAAAAAAUCAAAAUUGGAAGCGGGCUGUUGGUUCUGGGUUGAAGAGGAUGGGUAGUGCAACGGUUUUUCCGGCGGGUUAACGACGGCUCAAGAUGAAGAAGAAGAAAUGAGGUCAUUCAUUUUUGGGGAGGGUUCAGUCGCUGCGCUUUUUGUGUCUGUACCGUUGUUAGGUUGGGUGCUGCUAUGGAGGAUUUAUAGGUGUGUUUUAGGUUGUGUCUUGUGAAGAUCAAGGAGAGGGGUCCGCCGAUGUGUGUGUCAUUCACGAUCAGAAAACGACUGCUCCUUCUCUUUGUGAAGUUGUUCUGUAUUCUUCCAAACUAAGGGGGAAAAUCCGUUGGUCUCAUGAAUAGGGGCUACUGGUCCAGCUUGAAGAGGAGAUUUUGGGGUGAAGUCUGUUGUUAGAAUGGAGAAGACGAAGUUCGGAGAGGGGGUUCGAAGAAGAUGAUUUUCAAGGGAUGGGGUUCUUGGUGUAAACGACGGAUUCUUUUGUGUGUUCCCUU
This 3661-nucleotide long non-coding RNA is filed under the name Nicotiana tabacum (common tobacco). Its description in RNAcentral is "long non-coding RNA (NTAB_LNC017965)". The record is from RNAcentral. Lineage: Eukaryota; Viridiplantae; Streptophyta; Magnoliopsida; Solanales; Solanaceae.